AGUGAACGCUGGCGGCAGGCCUAAUACAUGCAAGUCGAACGGCAGCACAGUGGAGCUUGCUCCAUGGGUGGCGAGUGGCGGACGGGUGAGGAAUACAUGGGAAUCUGCCCAGUCGUGGGGGAUAACGUAGGGAAACUUACGCUAAUACCGCAUGCGCCCUUCGGGGGAAAGCCGGGGACCUUCGGGCCUGGCGCGAUUGGAUGAGCCCAUGUCGGAUUAGCUAGUUGGCGGGGUAAAGGCCCACCAAGGCGACGAUCCGUAGCUGGUCUGAGAGGAUGAUCAGCCACACUGGAACUGAGACACGGUCCAGACUCCUACGGGAGGCAGCAGUAGGGAAUAUUGGACAAUGGGCGCAAGCCUGAUCCAGCCAUGCCGCGUGAGUGAAGAAGGCCUUCGGGUUGUAAAGCUCUUUUGUCCGGAAAGAAAAGCAUCCAGUUAAUACCUGGAUGUCCUGACGGUACCGGAAGAAUAAGCACCGGCUAACUUCGUGCCAGCAGCCGCGGUAAUACGAAGGGUGCAAGCGUUACUCGGAAUUACUGGGCGUAAAGCGUGCGUAGGUGGUUUGUUAAGUCUGAUGUGAAAGCCCUGGGCUCAACCUGGGAAUGGCAUUGGAUACUGGCAGGCUAGAGUGCGGUAGAGGGCAGUGGAAUUCCCGGUGUAGCAGUGAAAUGCGUAGAGAUCGGGAGGAACAUCUGUGGCGAAGGCGACUGCCUGGACCAGCACUGACACUGAGGCACGAAAGCGUGGGGAGCAAACAGGAUUAGAUACCCUGGUAGUCCACGCCCUAAACGAUGCGAACUGGAUGUUGGGUGCAACUUGGCACUCAGUAUCGAAGCUAACGCGUUAAGUUCGCCGCCUGGGGAGUACGGUCGCAAGACUGAAACUCAAAGGAAUUGACGGGGGCCCGCACAAGCGGAGGAGCAUGUGGUUUAAUUCGAUGAUACGCGAGGAACCUUACCAGGGCUCGAACGCAGGAGGAAUACUCCCGAAAGGAAGUAGCCAGAAAUGGCCGCCUGCGAGGUGCUGCAUGGUUGUCGUCAGCUCGUGCCGUGAGGUGUCAGGUUAAGUCCUAUAACGAGCGCAACCCCUAUUCAUAGUUGCCAGCAUAUUACGGUGGGGACUCUAUGAAAACUGCCUGCGCAAGCAGUGAGGAAGGUGGGGAUGACGUCAAAUCAGCACGGCCCUUAUGUCCUGGGCUACACACGUGCUACAAUGGCCGGUACAGAAGGCCGCAACCACGCAAGUGGAAGCUAAUCCCCAAAACCGGUCUCAGUUCGGAUUGGAGUCUGCAACCCGACUCCAUGAAGCCGGAUUCGCUAGUAAUCGCACAUCAGCCAUGACGCGGUGAAUACGUUCCCGGGCCU
RNAcentral lists this ribosomal RNA (1364 nucleotides) under uncultured bacterium. Its description in RNAcentral is "bacterial SSU rRNA". It matches the Rfam family "Bacterial small subunit ribosomal RNA", at positions 28 to 1381 of the family's 1533-position model. The record is from RNAcentral.